GUAAGCGUGACGUCAGCGUGACGUAUGGCGCGUCGCGCGCCACUAGGGGUCCUACUGCGCAGAAAGUGGGUCCACCUGUGACGUAUGUCAUAGUACUUACUACCUUCCUUGUUUACACACGUGUAGCCCCCUCCCUCUCGCAAAGAAUCCUUCGCAAGGUGCCGAGUGAACUGAUAACUGUCAAAAAUCACCAACUGAACUGUCAAAUAUCGCACAAGUGUCAGAUUAUUAUCGUUAUCCGUAUAUAAUAUUUUAUCAUAUACUCCGGGUACAUCAGUAUGGCGUGACGAGAUCCAGCUUCUCGUCGUGAAGAAAUCUCCGAAUCUCAGCUUCUCUCGAUAAUCUCCAGGAAGUAAAACGAGACAUAAAUAAUGUGCAAUGGUGUUAGUGCUCGGUAUAUGUGAUUACGUCCCUCGAGUCUCAUUGUCGUGACUAACUUCAUUGACAGGUGUCGCGUCGCGGUCAUUUCCCUCGCAUUUAUCGCCGCCAUUUUUGCGAGAGUGAAUCUUCGCCGAGGGUGUCUCGUAAAAUGUCGAGAGUAUUUCGAAUUAAUUACCGGAUAAUCGUAUCGGUGCGCUAAUUAAUCAGUGACUGAGAGCGAUUCGGUUUUUUGUUAAGCUUUCCGAGCAGAUAAAUAUUGCGUCAGGCGUGAUUGUUGACAUUCGCGUGAUUUUUUUUGUCCUUAACGGGUGACAAGUAUUUCGUGUGUAACGAAUCGGCAGUUUCGACGAGCAAAUUAGUGUCUCUCGAUCAAUCAGGUUGUACGAUCGCUGUCGAGUACGAGAUUCGCGUCGUGUUACGGCGAUGUUUACAGCAGAUAGAGGAAUCAAGUGCACAUAUAGAUAUCGAACUCGAUUGUCCCAUUUCCUCUUAUUUAUUCGACCGAAAUGCACUGGCAUUGUGCAUAACGUGACGGGCGUCGUCGUGUCGGAAGAUCGUUAAUUAGUGCGCGAGAUGGUAAUUAGCAGGCGCGAUUGAUUCGUACUUGUGCGAGAGGCUGCCUGAUGCGGAGCAUAGUAUCGGUCCAGGACGCCAGGAAUGCGGAAUGCAGAGAUGCAACGCCGAUGCAACGCGAAUGCAGCGAAAGAUGAAACGGGCGUAUCUCGUCCCGGUAGCAUUAAGCUGCGAGUUUGACUGCGAGAUCCUCGAGUGUCGGACGAGUCGUUACUUCGUGUAAUUAUAGUUUUCGCGGUUUUUUUUUCUCGUUAUGCAAUGUAUGCGAAGUACGCAUCGCGUCGGGAGUGCCGUGUAAAGUGUCGGGCGAUUGUAAUUAUUCGUGUUUUCGCGAGUGUCGUGAGUGCUACAAAGGACCAAGAGAGAGGAGGAGGGAGAAAACCUGGGGAUGCAUCGGGCGACAGCGGGGCAACUGUAAGAUCAAUGCGCUGUGUAUGUACUACAACUCCGCUAUUGCAGGUAUCGG
This is a long non-coding RNA of Nylanderia fulva, 1420 nucleotides long. RefSeq lists it as uncharacterized. NCBI's taxonomy places the organism in Eukaryota, Metazoa, Arthropoda, Insecta, Hymenoptera, Formicidae. The record is from RefSeq and is a predicted model, not a curated record.